Molecule: long non-coding RNA, 542 nt
Filed under: Citrus sinensis (sweet orange)
Lineage: Eukaryota; Viridiplantae; Streptophyta; Magnoliopsida; Sapindales; Rutaceae
Description: long non-coding RNA (CSIN_LNC005004)
Source: RNAcentral
ACGAUUUCAUGGCUGGCCGUGUUAUUGUCUUAAAUUAGUUGUGAUAAGCUGUUGCUUGGAGAUUCUGUUGCCAAGACUUUGCUCACAUCAGAAGCUGUGGAAUCUGAACCCUUCGUUAUGUAUCAUCUUUUUCAUGCAGGAAAAAGUUUCUUCGGCCACCAUAUUUGAAAAUGAAGCCAUUUCCAGGAAGCAGUUGGCAGCAAAUUCUUUGCCUUUCGUGCACUUUGGUAUGCUAUCAAGUGACAGCUUCUUUGUCUUAAAUUAGUUGUGAUAAGCUGUUGCUUGGAGAUUCUGUUGCCAAGACUUUGCUCACAUCAGAAGCUGUGGAAUCUGAACCCUUCGUUAUGUAUCAUCUUUUUCAUUGUUUUAAAACUCUCAGGAUUAAACUUGAGCGAAUUUGUUCGGUUGUCUAUAUAAUCAUGUAUUGAGUAACCUCUCAGGAUACUGAGCAGGCAAAUGUUAUAACUCGGUUUGUUAGCCAAAAACUUGUUGAAGAUUCUUGACAAAGCUGCAUCAAGUGAAUUGUCGGAGCUCUGAGGGUG